GACUGCUCGAGCGCUGGAAAACACUCGCCCGCUCCACGGAGCGGCGGGUGGGGGACCAGCGGGUCACUCGGCGCCUUUCCUUUUCGGAGGAUCGGCCCGGGCUGGUCGGCCACCCCCUGUCCAACCCCAACCCAAACAUGAGCAAGUCUAAAGCCAAAGCGGUCUCGAAAGAGUCGCAUCAAACAACAGACAACUCUCAACAACGGAUAUCUUGGCUCCCGCAUCGAUGAAGAACGCAGCGAAAUGCGAUACGUAGUGUGAAUUGCAGAAUUCCGUGAAUCAUCGAAUCUUUGAACGCAUAUUGCGCUCGAGACUCCGGUCGAGAGCAUGUCUGUCUCAGCGUCGGCUCACCCCCUCGCCCCUCUUCCCAUUCGGCAAGAGUUUAAAGGAGCGGACGUGGCCGUCUCGGGCCUUCCUCUAGGCUCGGGUCGGCUGAAGCGCAGGGCUUGCGGCCGGACCCACACACAGGGCGCCAGCAUGGUAGGUGGCUUCACUGCUGCAUGCCGCUGUCGUUCCACCCGGUGGGCUCCCAUGCCGCGCGGCCAAGCAGGAAGCAUCGACUCGGGGGCUCGCCCCCGGGUCUUUCA
This 587-nucleotide ribosomal RNA is filed under the name uncultured Chlorophyta. Its description in RNAcentral is "eukaryotic LSU rRNA". The stretch from base 192 to 345 matches the Rfam family "5.8S ribosomal RNA". The record is from RNAcentral. Lineage: Eukaryota; Viridiplantae; Chlorophyta.